This is a non-coding RNA of Capsicum annuum, 112 nucleotides long. Lineage: Eukaryota; Viridiplantae; Streptophyta; Magnoliopsida; Solanales; Solanaceae. The record is from Rfam.
AUUUCAUGAUUUGGGAAUUGAGAAAGCUUACCGUUAAACCUAUUCCAAGCUUAAAAUAAUGGUUCUCCAUUCUUUUGAGAAAAAUUUACAAUCUUAUCCCAUUUUUGAAUAU